RNAcentral lists this ribosomal RNA (440 nucleotides) under uncultured bacterium. Its description in RNAcentral is "partial 16S ribosomal RNA". It matches the Rfam family "Bacterial small subunit ribosomal RNA", at positions 339 to 795 of the family's 1533-position model. The record is from RNAcentral.
CUACGGGUUGCUGCAGUGGGGAAUAUUGGACAAUGGGCGAAAGCCUGAUCCAGCAAUGCCGCGUGAGUGAAGAAGGCCUUAGGGUUGUAAAGCUCUUUCAGUCGUGACGAUGAUGACGGUAACGACAGAAGAAGCCCCGGCUAACUCCGUGGCCAGCAGCCGCGGUAAUACGGAGGGGGCUAGCGUUGUUCGGAAUUACUGGGCGUAAAGCGCACGUAGGCGGCGUAUCUAGUCAGAGGUGAAAGGCCCGGGCUCAACCUGGGAACUGCCUUUGAUACUGGUACGCUUGAGUCCGGAAGAGGGUAGUGGAAUUUCCAGUGUAGAGGUGAAAUUCGUAGAUAUUGGAAAGAACACCAGUGGCGAAGGCGGCUACCUGGUCCGGUACUGACGCUGAGGUGCGAAAGCGUGGGGAGCAAACAGGAUUAGAUACCCUUGUAGUC